GACGAACGCUGGCGGCGUGCUUAACACAUGCAAGUCGAACGGAAAGGCCCUUCUUUUGUGGGGUGCUCGAGUGGCGAACGGGUGAGUAACACGUGAGUAACCUGCCCUUGACUUUGGUAUAACUUCAGGAAACUGGGGCUAAUCCCGGAUAGGAGCUCCUGCUGCAUGGUGGGGGUUGGAAAGUUUCGGCGGUUGGGGAUGGACUCGCGGCUUAUCAGCUUGUUGGUGGGGUAGUGGCUUACCAAGGCUUUGACGGGUAGCCGGCCUGAGAGGGUGACCGGCCACAUUGGGACUGAGAUACGGCCAAGACUCCUACGGGAGGAAGAAGUGGGGAAUAUUGCACAAUGGGCGGAAGCCUGAUGCAGCAACGCGGCGUGCGGGAUGACGGCCUUCGGGUUGUAAACCGCUUUCGCCUGUGACGAAGCGUGAGUGACGGUAAUGGGUAAAGAAGCACCGGCUAACUACGUG
This 468-nucleotide ribosomal RNA is filed under the name uncultured bacterium. RNAcentral's name for it is "partial 16S ribosomal RNA". It matches the Rfam family "Bacterial small subunit ribosomal RNA", at positions 28 to 507 of the family's 1533-position model. The record is from RNAcentral.